Long non-coding RNA from Juglans microcarpa x Juglans regia, 99 nucleotides. RefSeq lists it as uncharacterized. The transcript is spliced from 3 exons. Lineage: Eukaryota; Viridiplantae; Streptophyta; Magnoliopsida; Fagales; Juglandaceae. The record is from RefSeq and is a predicted model, not a curated record.
AUCUUACCUUUCGGGGAGGAUCGGGUCCAGUAACUGGGGGUUUAUGGCUAACCGAUAUUUCACACCAUCAUUUAGCUAUUGCAAUUCUUUUCCUGAUAG